UAGAGGUAGAGUGAAGAGGCACAGAAUACAAGUUGCUUGAAGUACAGUGUAAAGUUUCUGCAGUCUGUGAUGAUUUGGGGUGUCAUGUCAUAUGCUGGUGUUGAUCCACUGUGUUUUAAUUCCAAAACCAACGUCACUGCA
This is a long non-coding RNA of Sinocyclocheilus anshuiensis, 141 nucleotides long. RefSeq lists it as uncharacterized. The transcript is spliced from 3 exons. The record is from RefSeq and is a predicted model, not a curated record. NCBI's taxonomy places the organism in Eukaryota, Metazoa, Chordata, Actinopteri, Cypriniformes, Cyprinidae.